CUGUGCCUCCUGAUUGCUGAGUGUUCACCUGGACCUUCUGACUACCUUGUACUAUUCCAUCAGGAUACAGAUCUGAUAUCUGGAUUUUUGCCCAUGGUGAUUCCAACCACCUUACUACUGAUGAAGACACCAUUCCAGUGAACCACUGUGACCCAAGAGACAUUUAGCCAUUAUGAUGUGGCCUUUACCUCCACUGCUGUCCUGUUCUACCCAGCACAGCCCUUUA
This is a non-coding RNA of Otolemur garnettii (small-eared galago), 226 nucleotides long. The record is from Rfam. NCBI's taxonomy places the organism in Eukaryota, Metazoa, Chordata, Mammalia, Primates, Galagidae.